CAAAUCUUAAUUUUGUGACUUGGCCUCACAUUCCUGUCGUUUCAAAGUGACUCAGUUCAACGUGACCUCACGCCCUAAGCUACCAGCAUUUUCAUUAUUUGAUUUGUAGAUGUAAGAAUUUAUAAUUUUAAAAAUUAUUUUUUACUUUCAAAUUUCGAUCAUACAACAAAAUGAUUAGCAAAGAAUAUAUUUUUUCUUCUUCUUUUUUUUUUUUUUU
RNAcentral lists this long non-coding RNA (217 nucleotides) under Ananas comosus (pineapple). Its description in RNAcentral is "long non-coding RNA (ACOM_LNC018582)". The record is from RNAcentral. Lineage: Eukaryota; Viridiplantae; Streptophyta; Magnoliopsida; Poales; Bromeliaceae.